GACGAACGCUGGCGGCGUGCCUAAUACAUGCAAGUAGAACGCACAGUUUAUACCGUAGCUUGCUACACCAUAGACUGUGAGUUGCGAACGGGUGAGUAACGCGUAGGUAACCUGCCUGGUAGCGGGGGAUAACUAUUGGAAACGAUAGCUAAUACCGCAUAAUAUUAAUUAUUGCAUGAUAAUUAAUUGAAAGGUGCAAUUGCACCACUACCAGAUGGACCUGCGUUGUAUUAGCUAGUAGGUGGGGUAACGGCUCACCUAGGCGACGAUACAUAGCCGACCUGAGAGGGUGAUCGGCCACACUGGGACUGAGACACGGCCCAGACUCCUACGGGAGGCAGCAGUAGGGAAUCUUCGGCAAUAGACGAAAGUCUGACCGAGCAACGCCGCGUGAGUGAAGAAGGUUUUCGGAUCGUAAAGCUCUGUUGUAAGAGAAGAACGGGUGUGAGAGUGGAAAGUUCACACUGUGACGGUAUCUUACCAGAAAGGGACGGCUAACUACGUG
Molecule: ribosomal RNA, 505 nt
Filed under: uncultured bacterium
Lineage: Bacteria
Description: partial 16S ribosomal RNA
Rfam family: Bacterial small subunit ribosomal RNA
Source: RNAcentral